AUUGACGCUGGCGGCAUGCCUUACACAUGCAAGUCGAACGGCAGCGGACCUUCGGGUGCCGGCGAGUGGCGAACGGGUGAGUAAUGCAUCGGAACGUGCCAUUGAGUGGGGGAUAACGUAGCGAAAGUUACGCUAAUACCGCAUAUUCUGUGAGCAGGAAAGCAGGGGACCGCAAGGCCUUGCGCUCUUUGAGCGGCCGAUGUCAGAUUAGCUAGUUGGUGAGGUAAAGGCUUACCAAGGCGACGAUCUGUAGCGGGUCUGAGAGGAUGAUCCGCCACACUGGAACUGAGACACGGUCCAGACUCCUACGGGAGGCAGCAGUGGGGAAUUUUGGACAAUGGGGCGCAAGCCCUGAUCCAGCCAUGCCGCGUGAGUG
RNAcentral lists this ribosomal RNA (376 nucleotides) under uncultured bacterium. Its description in RNAcentral is "bacterial SSU rRNA". It matches the Rfam family "Bacterial small subunit ribosomal RNA", at positions 29 to 407 of the family's 1533-position model. The record is from RNAcentral.